AUUGAACGCUGGCGGCAUGCCUUACACAUGCAAGUCGAACGGCAGCACGGGAGCAAUCCUGGUGGCGAGUGGCGAACGGGUGAGUAAAGUAUCGGAACGUGCCCAGUCGUGGGGGAUAACGUAGCGAAAGUUACGCUAAUACCGCAUACGAUCUAUGGAUGAAAGCGGGGGAUCGCAAGACCUCGCGCGAUUGGAGCGGCCGAUAUCAGAUUAGGUAGUUGGUGGGGUAAAGGCUCACCAAGCCGACGAUCUGUAGCUGGUCUGAGAGGACGACCAGCCACACUGGGACUGAGACACGGCCCAGACUCCUACGGGAGGCAGCAGUGGGGAAUUUUGGACAAUGGGCGCAAGCCUGAUCCAGCCAUGCCGCGUGCAGGAUGAAGGCCUUCGGGUUGUAAACUGCUUUUGUACGGAACGAAAAGGUUUGACUUAAUACGUUGGACUCAUGACGGUACCGUAAGAAUAAGCACCGGCUAACUAC
Molecule: ribosomal RNA, 481 nt
Filed under: Hydrogenophaga taeniospiralis
Lineage: Bacteria; Pseudomonadati; Pseudomonadota; Betaproteobacteria; Burkholderiales; Comamonadaceae
Description: bacterial SSU rRNA
Rfam family: Bacterial small subunit ribosomal RNA
Source: RNAcentral